Molecule: ribosomal RNA, 508 nt
Filed under: Candida albicans
Lineage: Eukaryota; Fungi; Ascomycota; Pichiomycetes; Serinales; Debaryomycetaceae
Description: partial 15S ribosomal RNA
Source: RNAcentral
UUCAUGAUUAUAUGAUUUCAUUUAAUAUAUUGAUUUAAUAUAUAUAUUUAAUUACUCAUAUAGUCGUAUUACACCUGUAGCCCAAUUCAUAAGGGUCAUGCGGAUUAGUCUUCAGCCUCUACUUCCCAUAAUAUAUCUAUUAUGCAUCACUAAUUAUAGUAGGCCCGACCAUAGGUCGGGCUUACUUAAAUAGUCGAGGGUUGCGUUCAUUAUAUAACUAAAUAAAAUACCACUUGGCAUGAACUGACGACAACAAUGUAACGCCUGUAUAUACUCGUUCAGGUAAUGAGUAUAUAUUCAAGAAUUGGUAAGGUGUUAGGGGUAUCAUCCAAUUAAACAGCAUAAUCCACUGUACCUGUAUAUAACCGUCUAAUGUAUUGCAUUUCAUCCGUGAGGACGUACUAGUCUGGCGGUGUACUUCAAGUAUUAACGUACCCAUAAUGAAAGUUAUAGGUUUAUAAACCCAUAACUAUCUUACAUAUACGUAGUACACAUAGUUUACGGCUAC